UAGGAACGCUAGCGGGAGGCCUAAUACAUGCAAGUCGAGCGGUAGAGUGACUUCGGUUGCUUGAGAGCGGCGCGACGGGUGAGUAACGCGUACAUGACCUACCUUUAAAGACUGGGAUACGCCCGUGGGAAACUGGGAAUUAAUACCGGAUGUGAUAAUACGUAUAGAGAUGUAUUAUUAAAGUUGAGGCGCUUAGAGAUGGAUGUGCGUCUGAUUAGCUAGUUGGUAGGGUAACGGCCUACCAAGGCUACGAUCAGUAGGGGGCGUGAGAGCGUGGCCCCCCACACGGGUACUGAGACACGGACCCGACUCCUACGGGAGGCAGCAGUAAGGAAUAUUGGUCAAUGGACGGAAGUCUGAACCAGCCAUCCCGCGUGCAGGAUGACUGCCCUAUGGGUUGUAAACUGCUUUUAGCAGAGACGAAACGCCUUCAUUUAUGAGGGUCUGACGGUAUCUGCAGAAUAAGCACCGGCUAACUCCGUG
RNAcentral lists this ribosomal RNA (483 nucleotides) under uncultured bacterium. RNAcentral's name for it is "bacterial SSU rRNA". It matches the Rfam family "Bacterial small subunit ribosomal RNA", at positions 31 to 507 of the family's 1533-position model. The record is from RNAcentral.